RNAcentral lists this ribosomal RNA (1247 nucleotides) under metagenome. RNAcentral's name for it is "bacterial LSU rRNA". It matches the Rfam family "Bacterial large subunit ribosomal RNA", at positions 1564 to 2820 of the family's 2925-position model. The record is from RNAcentral.
UGAAUACGAGACGCUAAGGCGUUGAAGUAGUGUAUGUCAUACUUCCAAGAAAAGCUUGCACUGUCAUAAAUAAGAAAUGCCUGUACCAUAACCGACACAGGUGGGUAGGUAGAGAAUACUAAGGGGCGCGAGAUAACUCUCUCUAAGGAACUCGGCAAAAUAACUCCGUAACUUCGGGAGAAGGAGUGCCUUACUUUGUAAGGCUGCAAUAACAAGAUCCAAGCAACUGUUUACCAAAAACACAGGUCUCCGCUAAGUCGAAAGACGAUGUAUGGGGGCUGACGCCUGCCCAGUGCCAGAAGGUUAAAGAAGUUGGUUAGCAUUAGCGAAGCUGAUAACUGAAGCCCUGGUGAACGGCGGCCGUAACAAUAACGGUCCUAAGGUAGCGAAAUUCCUUGUCGGGUAAGUUCCGACCCGCACGAAAGGCGUAAUGAUUUGGAUACUGUCUCGGAGAGGGGCUCGGUGAAAUAGACUUGUCUGUGAAGAUGCGGACUACCUGCACCAGGACAGAAAGACCCUAUGAAGCUUUACUGUAACUUGAAAUUGAAACUGGACUUUAGUCGCGCAGUAUAGGUGGGAGGCGUUGAUAAUAAUCUUGCGGGAAUAUUGGAGCCAUCAGUGAGAUACCACUCUUCUAAUGUUAGGUUUCUAACUUUGUAUCAUUAUCUGGUCAAAGAACAGUUUCAGGCGGGCAGUUUGACUGGGGCGGUCGCCUCCCAAAUGGUAACGGAGGCGUACAAAGGUUUCCUCUGAACGUGUAGAAAUCGUAUCUAGAGUGUAAAGGCAUAAGGAAGCUUGACUGUGAGACCUACAAGUCGAGCAGGGACGAAAGUCGGUCUUAGUGAUCUGACGGUACUGAGUGGAAAGGCCGUCACUCAACGGAUAAAAGUUACUCUAGGAUAACAGGCUGAUCUCCCCCAAGAGUUCACAUCGACGGGGAGGUUUGGCACCUCGAUGUCGGCUCAUCGCAUCCUGGGGCGGUAGUACGUCCCAAGGGUUGGGCUGUUCGCCCAUGAAAGCGGUACGCGAGCUGGGUUCAGAACGUCGUGAGACAGUUCGGUCCAUAUCCGGUGUAGGCGUUAGAAUAUUGAGAGGAGCCUUCUUUAGUACGAGAGGACCGAGAAGGACAUACCUCUGGUGUACCAGUUAUCGUGCCAACGGUAAACGCUGGGUAGCUAUGUAUGGAGUGGAUAACCGCUGAAAGCAUCUAAGUGGGAAGCCCACCUCAAGAUGAGUAUUCUCAUAAG